CAGCAGCCGCGGUAAUACGUAGGUGGCAAGCGUUGUCCGGAAUUAUUGGGCGUAAAGGGCUCGCAGGCGGUUUCUUAAGCCUGAUGUGAAAGCCCCCGGCUCAACCGGGGAGGGUCAUUGGAAACUGGGAAACUUGAGUGCAGAGGAGGAGAGUGGAAUUCCACGUGUAGCGGUGAAAUGCGUAGAGAUGUGGAGGAACACCAGUGGCGAAGGCGACUCUCUGGUCUGUAACUGACGCUGAGGAGCGAAAGCGUGGGGAGCGAACAGGAUUAGAUACCCCAGUAGUCCCUGUCUCUUAUAA
This 301-nucleotide ribosomal RNA is filed under the name uncultured bacterium. RNAcentral's name for it is "partial 16S ribosomal RNA". It matches the Rfam family "Bacterial small subunit ribosomal RNA", at positions 509 to 809 of the family's 1533-position model. The record is from RNAcentral.